This 370-nucleotide ribosomal RNA is filed under the name uncultured organism. Its description in RNAcentral is "partial 16S ribosomal RNA". It matches the Rfam family "Bacterial small subunit ribosomal RNA", at positions 527 to 896 of the family's 1533-position model. The record is from RNAcentral.
GGAGGGUGCAAGCGUUAAUCGGAAUUACUGGGCGUAAAGGGCGUGUAGGUGGUUUGAUAAGUUGGCUGUGAAAGCCCCGGGCUUAACCUGGGAGGGUCAGCCAAAACUAUAAGACUAGAGUACGGUAGAGGGUAGUGGAAUUUCCGGUGUAGCGGUGAAAUGCGUAGAUAUCGGAAGGAACACCAGUGGCGAAGGCGACUACCUGGACUGAUACUGACACUGAGGCGCGAAAGCGUGGGGAGCGAACAGGAUUAGAUACCCUGGGCAGUCCACGCCGUAAACGAUGAGAACUAGCCGUUGGGGACGUAAGUCUUUAGUGGCGCAGCUAACGCGAUAAGUUCUCCGCCUGGGGAGUACGGCCGCAAGGCUA